This 301-nucleotide ribosomal RNA is filed under the name uncultured bacterium. Its description in RNAcentral is "partial 16S ribosomal RNA". It matches the Rfam family "Bacterial small subunit ribosomal RNA", at positions 509 to 809 of the family's 1533-position model. The record is from RNAcentral.
CAGUAGCCGCGGUAAUACGAAGGGGGCUAGCGUUGCUCGGAAUGACUGGGCGUAAAGGGCGCGUAGGCGGUCUGUACAGUUGGAUGUGAAAUUCCUGGGCUUAACCUGGGGGCUGCAUUCAAUACGUGCAGGCUUGAGUGUGGAAGAGGGUUGUGGAAUUCCCAGUGUAGAGGUGAAAUUCGUAGAUAUUCGGAGGAACACCAGUGGCGAAGGCGGCUCACUGGUCCAUUACUGACGCUGAGGUGCGAAAGCGUGGGGAGCAAACAGGAUUAGAUACCCCUGUAGUCCCUGUCUCUUAUAA